Molecule: ribosomal RNA, 253 nt
Filed under: uncultured bacterium
Lineage: Bacteria
Description: partial 16S ribosomal RNA
Rfam family: Bacterial small subunit ribosomal RNA
Source: RNAcentral
UACGAAGGGAGCUAGCGUUGUUCGGAAUUACUGGGCGUAAAGGGCGCGUAGGCGGCUUCGAAAGUUGGGCGUGAAAUCCCCGGGCUCAACCUGGGAACUGCAUUUGUGACUGCACGGCUCGAGUGCGGCAGAGGGGGAUGGAAUUCCGCGUGUAGCAGUGAAAUGCGUAGAUAUGCGGAGGAACACCGAUGGCGAAGGCAAUCCCCUGGGCCUGCACUGACGCUCAUGCACGAAAGCGUGGGGAGCAAACAGG